AAACAACAACAACAACAACAACAACAACAAACCCAGUGUAUUCGCACCUAGUAGGGUCUGGGGGAGGGGGUAAGAUGUACGCAGUCCAUACCUCUACCUCUGAUGAAGUAGAAAUGCUGUUUCUGAUAGACCCCCGGCUCAAGGCACGAGAUACCACACAAACACAUAGUAAAGCACAGAAGCAGAUUACAUAACAUAAAUACGACACCCAUAAGUAAUAUAAAACAGAGGAAAGCAGAGGAAAGCACACAGAUUCGUAAUAAAACAUGGAACACGGAACACGGAAUCAUAACAGGAAUAAAACCCCCACCAAGUAAU
This 318-nucleotide long non-coding RNA is filed under the name Capsicum annuum. Its description in RNAcentral is "long non-coding RNA (CANN_LNC020812)". Lineage: Eukaryota; Viridiplantae; Streptophyta; Magnoliopsida; Solanales; Solanaceae. The record is from RNAcentral.